RNAcentral lists this ribosomal RNA (467 nucleotides) under uncultured bacterium. RNAcentral describes it as "partial 16S ribosomal RNA". It matches the Rfam family "Bacterial small subunit ribosomal RNA", at positions 28 to 507 of the family's 1533-position model. The record is from RNAcentral.
GACGAACGCUGGCGGCGUGCUUAACACAUGCAAGUCGAACGGAAAGGCCUCUUUCGGGGGGUACUCGAGUGGCGAACGGGUGAGUAACACGUGAGUAACCUGCCCUUGACUUUGGGAUAACUUCAGGAAACUGGGGCUAAUACCGGAUAGGAGCUCCUGCUUCAUGGUGGGGGUUGGAAAGUUUCGGCGGUUGGGGAUGGACUCGCGGCUUAUCAGCUUGUUGGUGGGGUAGUGGCUUACCAAGGCUUUGACGGGUAGCCGGCCUGAGAGGGUGACCGGCCACAUUGGGACUGAGAUACGGCCCAGACUCCUACGGGAGGCAGCAGUGGGGAAGAUUGCACAAUGGGUGGAAGCCUGAUGCAGCAACGCCGCGUGCGGGAUGACGGCCUUCGGGUUGUAAAACGCUUUCGCUCAUGACGAAGCUUUGUGUGACGGUAGUGGGUAAAGAAGCACCGGCUAACUACGUG